Molecule: ribosomal RNA, 468 nt
Filed under: uncultured bacterium
Lineage: Bacteria
Description: partial 16S ribosomal RNA
Rfam family: Bacterial small subunit ribosomal RNA
Source: RNAcentral
GACGAACGCUGGCGGCGUGCUUAACACAUGCAAGUCGAACGGAAAGGCCCUGCUUUUGUGGGGUGCUCGAGUGGCGAACGGGUGAGUAACACGUGAGUAACCUGCCUUUGACUUUGGGAUAACCUCAGGAAACUGGGGCUAAUACCGGAUAGGAGCUCUUGCUGCAUGGUGGGGGUUGGAAAGUUUCGGCGGUAGGGGAUGGACGCGCGGCUUAUCAGCUUGUUGGUGGGGUAGGGGCUUACCAAGGCUUUGACGGGUAGCCGGCCUGAGAGGGUGACCGGCCACAUUGGGACUGAGGUACGGCGCAGACGCGUACGGGAGGCAGCGGUGGAGAGUAUUGCGGAAUGGGCGGACGCGUGAUGCAGCGACGCCGCGUGCGGAAUGACGGCCUUCGAGUUAUGAACCAGUUUCGCCUGAAACGAAGCGUGAGUGACGGUAAUGAGUAAGAAAGCCCCGGCUAACUACGUG